Lolium rigidum is the source of this 476-nucleotide long non-coding RNA. RefSeq lists it as uncharacterized. The record is from RefSeq and is a predicted model, not a curated record. Lineage: Eukaryota; Viridiplantae; Streptophyta; Magnoliopsida; Poales; Poaceae. The transcript has 3 exons.
UCCUUCUGAAGCAUCCAUCGGCUGAAAAAAGUGGUACACCGGAUGUGGCGGGGGAGGGUCAGUGCAAGAUGGAAAGACAUGAGGUUUUUCCUGUGAUGGUCUUAUGAAGUGUAUGGAAUUUUCAGUGACUUGGUGCCUGUGUUAUGAUUCUUUAUUUUAUGAUCAAAUGGUGACAUGUGAUCCUAGCAUUCCGCACUGUAAGUCUGACACAAAUGGUUGAAGGUCAAACAUUCACAAUUGCAGAGUGUGUUAGAUGGGAGAAUGGAUGGACUACUAUCAUUCGGAUGGCACCUGGGCGACACAGUUUGAGCAUAUUGUGCUGGUCACUAGGAUGGGCACAGAAAUAUUGACGGAGCCUUGAGUUUAUAUCAUGCGGAUUGUAGUAAAGAGUUUGCUGGGCCAUCUCUUUUCAGAAUGGGUUGUGCCAAGAGCUCUCUCAUGUUUCUCCGGCCAUUAGGCAUUGGUGCAUCGGUGUC